GAAUGUGUGCACCAUCUGGUUGGGACAUCUGCAACUGGACUGAUCCCCAAGGCUCAUUCAGCUGCUCUGGAUGACUGCGUGGCUGUCCACUCUGUGUCACUGCUUCACACAGGUCCCUCCCAGAGCUGUGUGGUAACUAGAGGUAGAUGAAGGCCAUUUUCUAGUCAGGGACAAUUACCAGCUACACACACAGAAACUACUCAGCUUUGGUUUAUCAGCUGAAAAACUAAUAGUGACUUUUUAAAAGAAAGCUUUUAUCUCUAGUGGGGACAUUCUAUGUCCCAUAUU
This is an unclassified non-coding RNA of Cavia aperea (Brazilian guinea pig), 288 nucleotides long. Its record names the gene 7SK. It matches the Rfam family "7SK RNA". Rfam says of the family: 7SK was discovered as an abundant small nuclear RNA in the mid-70s but a possible function has only recently been suggested. Two independent studies have found that 7SK RNA binds the CDK9/cyclin T complex (known as elongation factor P-TEFb). The record is from Ensembl. NCBI's taxonomy places the organism in Eukaryota, Metazoa, Chordata, Mammalia, Rodentia, Caviidae.